AUUGAACGCUGGCGGCAGGCCUAACACAUGCAAGUCGAACGAGUGGCGGACGGGUGAGUAAUGUCUGGGAAACUGCCCGAUGGAGGGGGGUAACUACUGGAAACGGUAGCUAAUACCGCAUACCAUCGGAUGUGCCCAGAUGUGAUUAGCUAGUAGGUGGGGUAACGGCUCACCUAGGCGACGAUCCCUAGCUGGUCUGAGAGGAUGACCAGCCAAACGGGAACGGAGAAACGGUCCAGACUCCAACGGGAGGCAGCAGUGGGGAAUAGUGCACAAUGGGCGCAAGCCUGAUGCAGCCAUGCCGGGUGUAUGAAGAAGGCCUUCGGGUGGUAAAGUACUUUCAGCGAGGAGGCGUUACUCGAAGAAGAAGCAACGGCUAACUCCGUGCCAGCAGCCGCGGUAAUAC
Molecule: ribosomal RNA, 406 nt
Filed under: uncultured bacterium
Lineage: Bacteria
Description: partial 16S ribosomal RNA
Rfam family: Bacterial small subunit ribosomal RNA
Source: RNAcentral